CCUUCCUUUUUGGCAUGCCUUUGCUUGGAAAAAGACGGCAAUGCAUGAAUGCUGAAGGAAGGGAGAUUAAUUCUUGGGAAAUAUGCCUUCGGUGUCCACACAAAUUCUGUCUGGAUCCCAUCCUCAAGUUUCCCAACACUU
Tribolium castaneum (red flour beetle) is the source of this 141-nucleotide small nucleolar RNA. It matches the Rfam family "Small nucleolar RNA SNORA57". From Rfam's summary of the family: U99 belongs to the H/ACA class of snoRNAs which are thought to guide the sites of modification of uridines to pseudouridines, the target for this family is unknown. NCBI's taxonomy places the organism in Eukaryota, Metazoa, Arthropoda, Insecta, Coleoptera, Tenebrionidae. The record is from Rfam.